UAGGGAAUCUUCCGCAAUGGGCGAAAGCCUGAAGGAGCAACGCCGCGUGAGUGAUGAAGGUCUUCGGAUCGUAAAACUCUGUUAUUAGGGAAGAACAAAUGUGUAAGUAACUAUGCACGUCUUGACGGUACCUAAUCAGAAAGCCACGGCUAACUACGUGCCAGCAGCCGCGGUAAUACGUAGGUGGCAAGCGUUAUCCGGAAUUAUUGGGCGUAAAGCGCGCGUAGGCGGUUUUUUAAGUCUGAUGGGAAAGCCCACGGCUCAACCGUGGAGGGUCAUUGGAAACUGGAAAACUUGAGUGCAGAAGAGGAAAGUGGAAUUCCAUGUGUAGCGGUGAAAUGCGCAGAGAUAUGGAGGAACACCAGUGGCGAAGGCGACUUUCUGGUCUGUAACUGACGCUGAUGUGCGAAAGCGUGGGGAUCAAACAGG
This 429-nucleotide ribosomal RNA is filed under the name Bacteroidota bacterium. RNAcentral describes it as "Bacteroidetes bacterium partial 16S ribosomal RNA". It matches the Rfam family "Bacterial small subunit ribosomal RNA", at positions 355 to 776 of the family's 1533-position model. The record is from RNAcentral. Lineage: Bacteria; Pseudomonadati; Bacteroidota.